GCCGGAGUGGCGGAAUUGGCAGACGCGCUGGACUCAAAAUCCAGUGCCCGCAAGGGCGUGCCGGUUCAAGUCCGGCCUCCGGUAC
Molecule: transfer RNA, 85 nt
Filed under: Lacipirellula limnantheis
Lineage: Bacteria; Pseudomonadati; Planctomycetota; Planctomycetia; Pirellulales; Lacipirellulaceae
Description: Planctomycetes bacterium I41 tRNA-Leu
Rfam family: tRNA
About the family: Transfer RNA (tRNA) molecules are approximately 80 nucleotides in length. Their secondary structure includes four short double-helical elements and three loops (D, anti-codon, and T loops).
Source: RNAcentral